CGCCCUGUAGCUCAAUGGCCAGAGCGUUUCCUCUUCGUCGCUACCGAGGGGGAGGGGAUCCCGGUUCGAUUCCGGGCAGGGUAC
Molecule: transfer RNA, 84 nt
Filed under: Streptomyces sp. 5-10
Lineage: Bacteria; Bacillati; Actinomycetota; Actinomycetes; Kitasatosporales; Streptomycetaceae
Description: tRNA-OTHER
Rfam family: tRNA
About the family: Transfer RNA (tRNA) molecules are approximately 80 nucleotides in length. Their secondary structure includes four short double-helical elements and three loops (D, anti-codon, and T loops).
Source: RNAcentral